AAGUCGUAACAAGGUUUCCGUAGGUGAACCUGCGGAAGGAUCAUUAUUGAAAGCACUUGAAGUUGUUGCUGGCUCCUUGGAGCAUGUGCACGCUUCAUGAUGACAACCACCUGUGCACCUUUUGUAGAUUGUUCUGAGCUCAAUUUCAGAGGAAACUCUGGUUUGGGUGCUGCUAUAGCACCUGUGGGCUCUGCAUGAUCUAUGCUUUUUUACAAACACCUUAAUGUAUGUCAAUGAAUGUGGUCUAAUAAACCUAAUACAACUUUCAACAACGGAUCUCUUGGCUCUC
RNAcentral lists this unclassified non-coding RNA (289 nucleotides) under air metagenome. Its description in RNAcentral is "partial contains small subunit ribosomal RNA, internal transcribed spacer 1, and 5.8S ribosomal RNA". The stretch from base 1 to 46 matches the Rfam family "Eukaryotic small subunit ribosomal RNA", at positions 1786 to 1831 of the family's 1831-position model. The record is from RNAcentral.